GACGAACGCUGGCGGCGUGCUUAACACAUGCAAGUCGAACGAUGAAGAAGAGAAACGCGAACUUCGGUUCAAAUUUCACUUCUGAUUAGUGGCAGACGGGUGAGUAACGCGUGAGCAACCUACCUCUUACAAAGGGAUAGCCUCGGGAAACCGUGAUUAAUACCAUAUGACACAUUCAUAAGGCAUCUUAAGAAUGUUAAAGCUACGGCGGUAAGAGAUGGGCUCGCGUCCCAUUAGCUAGUUGGUGAGGUAACGGCCCACCAAGGCGACGAUGGGUAACCGGACUGAGAGGGGGAACGGUCACAUUGGAACUGAGACAAGGUUCAAACUCCUACGGGAGGCAGCAGUGGGUACUAUUGCACAAUGGAGGGAACUCUGAUGCAGCGACGCCGCGUGAGCGAUGAAGGAAUUCGUUUCGUAAAGCUCUGUUCUAUGGGAAGAAAAGGACUGUACCAUAGGAGAAAGCCCCGGCUAAAUACGUG
RNAcentral lists this ribosomal RNA (482 nucleotides) under uncultured bacterium. RNAcentral's name for it is "partial 16S ribosomal RNA". It matches the Rfam family "Bacterial small subunit ribosomal RNA", at positions 28 to 507 of the family's 1533-position model. The record is from RNAcentral.